CUCUCCAGGCUCGGGGUCGGGAAUGAGCGAGGGUCCGGCAGAUUUGGGGCUCCGAGGCCACAGGUAUAGCAUGAAGCUGUUUGGUGUGUAUACAAAGCUGCAGGAUUCACUCUUCCGGGGCACAGAUGCCUGAGAAACUUCAGAGAGGCAGAAGGCGUGAGUCUGAGCAGCCAUCAUCUGGGCAUCAAGGGGUUAACCCAUCCCUGAGGGCUGGGCCAGGUCUUUUCCUCGGACUGGGCCCCGCCCUCCGGUUCCUCCAUAGAAGCCACUGGAGUCAACUAGGAGCUCACUUUGUGGGAGGGAGAAACGUUUUUUUCUCUUAUUUGAAUGGUGCUGGUGACCUCACAAGGUUUCCAUGGUGACAAGACCAAGGGAGCCAGGGGGCCUUGGUGAAUUAGGCCAAACAAACCCACCUCCAAGAGUCUUCUCCCAGACUCCAGCCUUGAGGAUGAGGACUCCAGGUAAUCAGUGAGCUUGCUGAAGAGGGAAGGUUGGGGGCUGGGGACAUGCCAGGCCAGGACCUGCAACAGAAACCGCCGCCCCACCUUUCCUUUCUGUGCCCCACCCCAUCCUGCCUAAAAAGUUGCUUUCCAUGAGGGCUUGGUGCUGAGUGUGGCCCCCACAGGGAUGUCUGUGUGGUCACAGAGUACCUGUGGGAGGGCAAUUCUGACCCCAAGGUAGGAAGCAGUGAUCCGGUAAUUCCAGGCACCAAGGCAGAUAAAAAGACCAAGGUAGGUGAACAGCAGAGUAGAGGCCUGGGUGUGAAAGGAGAAAGCCAUGAGCAUCUGGUUGGGAGUGGGAGCCCUGCUCUCUGAAGCUUGACUUUCUCAGGAGCAGCUGGGGGCUGGAGCUUGGGAACACAGGAUCAUGGGAUCCAAGUGACCAGGGUUUGAAACCAGGCAUAAAUAAUGCCUGCACUCUAUGGUUGUGGCCUACAUGGGACAUCACAGGGAAAGCACCGAGUAGGUGCUCAAUAUGUGUUUGUUUCCUCCCUCCUUCCCUUCCUCUCCUCUCCACCACUCAACAGCCACAGCCUCCUCAAGAAGUUUGAAGUCUGCAUUGAACUCAUUAAUUUCCAGCUUUUGGCCGGGCGUGGUGGCUCAUGACUAUAAUUCCAGCACUUUAGGAGGCCAAGAUGGGGCCCAUGAGUGAGGAGGACAAGAGAGAAAGGAGAAGUUUGGGUGUAAAUCCCAGAGAUUGUUCAUCAUGUGAGAGGAGCCGUGCAUGCAUUUCAUGCCAUACUCACACCAUGGAUGGAGAAAAAAAAUCAAGCUUCACUUUCUGAGAAUGGCCCUGGGGGCACUGCAUCUAGUGCCUGUGCAUCUGCAGACCUGCCGGAUGCCUCCAGGGGAAUCAUGCCACCCCAAGCAAGAAAGGGCCCAGUUGCCAGGAGCCUGGAGGCAGAGAGCUGAGGAGCCAGCCCCUGACAUCAGAAUGGAGCUCAAAGGUUGGCUGGGUGUGACUCUGCCGUGGACAGCUUCUCUUGGGAAAUCUACUUUAAUGAAUCCAGGGGACCAAUUUGUAAUCAGCCCAUCAGAUGUUCAGCGACACUUAGCUGGAAUCUCGUUGCUGGACUCUGUGCCCCGCAGUGGAUGACAGUUCUCCAUCAGGGUCUGCAGUCCUCUACCCUGGACUUGCUGCAUCCUGGAGCCCCCAGCAGUCAGGUACCGGCUCUCAGAACUGCCUGCAUCCCAUUGGCCUGAGCUGCUGUCUGCCAGGGCUGCUGGUAACCAGGCCCACAGGGUUGGAUAUUCCCCCAACAGGGCAGCUCCCAGUCCAAGCCCAACUGUUACCAGCCCAGAAAGAUGUUUCAGGAUACCCCUUUCCUCCCCACUUCCCUGCCCUCUGCAGCUCCAGCUGGUGCACCCCAUCUUUCUCUCCCCCUCCCUGCUAGGCUGGGCCCUAACAGGAGACCUUUGAGGUGGUUGGGCUUGUUCUGCAACCUUGAGUACCCUUGAGCUACUGCCUCACUCCUCAGUUUUCUUCUUCUUAAGGUUUCUAAUUGGACUUUGCCAGUGUAUUUAUUUCAAAACUGGUCAUCUUACUGACCUCGCUCAUAGUCUCUUAUUACUUUUCUAGUUGAUUCUCUUGAGUUUUCUGGAUAAACAAUAAUAUCAUGUACAAAUAAUGAUGACAAUUUCUCCUCCUUUCCAAAUGUUGUGUUUCCUUUUGUGUAUUAAUGUACUCUUGCCUUGGCUAAAACUUCCAAAACAAUGUAAAAUAAUUGUGUUAAUAGCAGGCUUUCUCAUUCUACCCUGACUAAAAUAUGAAUGACCCUGGCUAGGUGUUUUAUUGCUAAGAAUGAUGUUGACGGUUGGUUGCAGAUAGGUUUUUUUUAUUAUUAUUAUGCCAAGGAAAUGUUCUUUUAUUUUUAUUUUACUAAGGGUUUUCAGCAGAAUGGAUAUUCAGUUCUGUCAAAUGAGUUUUUGAUGUCAGUUAAGAUGAUCACAAAACUAUUUCCUUUCUGGUAAUUGACAUGAUUAAUUAUAGGGGUGGAUUUUCUGAUAUGUAAACGUCAUCACUUCUAAUGUAGACAUCUUUGAAUUGCGGAAGAGAUCCAUUGCCAGGGAGAAUCUGUAUUGGUUGGAUCUGUAUUGUGCUGAGUCCCAUGAAUGUGAACUCAUAACUUUUCCCGCAUCACCCCCUAAUCCAGGAUGGCCUGUCAGGCAGGAGCACUGUGACGCCUAAGGGCUUGAGCUGGGGCUCUGGAGAGCUGGAUGGGGUGUCAGCUUGUCCCAGGGUGAUCUUUCUAAAGGCCAGUCCAAUCACAUGACUCCCUUUAGUGGCUCCCCAUUGCCUUCAGCAGGAAACUCGAGCUUCUGUGUGCAUUUUCCAGGCCUCUUACAACUGGCCUCUGUCCACACCACUUAUCACCUCCAAUCUCUCACCUAGAACCAUAUAGGACCAGAACUCCUGGAAGGAGGCUCCCCCACAUCUCCUAUGCCUCCGGCCCUCUCACUUGGCUGCUCUCCUGCCUGGAAUGUCCUUUCCACCUUCCUUCCCAGGCAGGACUUAUCAGUCCCUGCUCUUCCGACCCCACAAAGCUCAGUUACUGCGUCAUUGCUACUUACCAGGGGGAGGUUAGUUUCUAUGUUCACCUCUAUCUCUAGAAGCCCCAGGAGGUUGAGGACCUGCCUGAUCCACCCCAUCUCAUCUCCCAGCCCAGUGUCUGCCCCAUCACAAAUGUUGCUCAAUCAGCCCUAGGUCAAACAUUUUGUUCACACUCAUGGACCCCCUACUUGACCCACCGCCUGUGACCUGCAGGGUUCGCUGUCCCAGUGGUGGGCACUGAGAGGCCCCAGUCGCAGGCCUCACAGGUGGCUGCAGCUCCCUGGAGCCUCUUUAGAAAAUGCAGUCGGCCUUGUUUCCUCCUCAGAAACAACGACUUAGCACAGCAUCCGGGCCCCAGGGGAGAGUGUUCCCCCCUCAAAAGCUGCUGCCAUUGGAGAUGCAGGAGAGGAAGCCAAGUGGGCCCAGGAGGGACCGGAUGAUUCGGGGUAGAUGGGAGGGAGUGAGCAGGAGGGGCUCUGAUAGGCUGCAUCCCUGGGGUUUCCUGCACAUCCCAGAUGCUGGCACCUGCUCUGGGCCUGGGCCGGCAAUAGCUCUGUGUCUGGCUCUCCACCGGGCCUUGGGUGCAUCCCCUGAUUCCCCCAGGGUCUUCUCACCCGACUCUCCAUGGGAUCCAUUUUCAACUCUCUGUGUUCCCUCAACUACUAGGCAGCCAGCUAGAGUCCUCACCUCUUCAGAAAAGCUGAUACUAGUUAAGCAUCCCAAGUCUGAAAAUCUGAAACCUGCAAUACUCCAGAAUUUGAAACUUUUUGAGCGUGGACAUGAUGCUCAAAGGAAACGCUCAUCAGAGCAUUUCAGAUUUGGGAUUUGGAGAUUUGGGAUGCUUAACCAGUAACUAUUUGUAAAUAUUCCAAAAUCUGAAAAAAAAAUCCCCAAUCGGAAACACUUAUGAUCCUAAGCAUUUUGGAUAAGGGAUGUUCAACCUGUAUCAAAUGGAGGGCUGCUUGGCUGCUAAGCCUGGGGUGGGACAGGAGCAGCCCAGACCUGCCCCUUCUUUUUUGCCAAGCAAUCCUGAGUUACACAACACAUUCCUGGCUACUAUAUAAUAAGAGGUUAGGUGACAUGACUUCAAGGGCAUCGGAGUUGGGUUGUGGAGUCUGGCAGACCCGGGUUCAAGUUCUAGCUCCACCUCUUGCUAACUGUGUGAUUUUGGGCAAGUUACUUAGCCUCUCUGAGACCCAAUUUCUUCAUCUGUGGAACAGAGUACCUACCUAUGGAGGUGUUGUGAGGAUUACAUGAAAUGACUGACUGACUAUAAAGCACUUAACACAGUGCCUGGCACGUAGUCGGAGUUCAAUGUACAUUAGCUGUUUUAUAAGUUACAGGUCAGCACAGGCUGGGCCAUAGCUGUCGCUUCAUACACCUUUGUCCCCCAUGCAUGGGUGGAGAAACUGAGGCCCAGAGAGGAGCGGGACAUCACAUCGCUGCAUCCCCUUCAUCAGCCUGGGCUGACACCUACUGAGGAGCUCUCUGCUGUAAUGGUUUCAAUCACAACAAACCUGACGCAUGGAGUCUUAGAUCUUGGGCUUGCCUUCUGCACAGCCUGGCACCCUCUUGUUUAAGAAACCUUUACAUUGCACUAAAUGCCAGGAACAGUUAUAAGCCCUUUAUACGUAUAAUAACAAUAUUAUGCAUAUUAACCUUAAUCCUUCUAGCAAACCCAUGAGAGAGAUACUAUCAUUAUCCCCAUUUUACAGAUGAGGGAAUGGAACAGUUCGAGGGCUUGCCCAAGGUCACACGGCUAGCAAGUGGGAGGACCACUAUUCACCAGCAGGGAUGCCAUCGACAAGGUUUCCACCCUGAGGUGAACAUAGCCUGGGCUCUGUGGUGUGAUCAUCGCGGGGUGAUCUGGGGUGUCUGGGGCACCUGAAGCCUGUCUUCUCCCUGCACCCUGAUGCUCGGGUGGAGGAGGCAUUUUGGAGGGGACUUGGUGGCCUGUGACUGGGCACAGCGGGAGCAUCUGCUUUGUCCUAUUAAUGCUAUUCACUAGAUGCCACAUCUCAGGCCACAGCAGGUAUUUCCCUCGAGAGAGGACAGUGAAAACUUGGAACAGAAGAGCUUUUUAUUAUUCAGAAUAACUGCACUAUUUAAUUUACUAUUAAUAAUAGCUCUUGAGUCAACCUUCUCCUGAAGAGAAGUGAGAACUGAAAGGAUGUCCCUCUCUUCUCUCCCCUCCUCCCUCCUUUUCUGCCUCCUUACUUCGGAAUGCUGUGAACUCAGUCACGAAUGAUUGAGCUGUUUUGGGGGUAGGAGUGGGAGAAAUGGAGGCCCAGCUCAUGCAGCGAGCCUGGUUACUCCUCCUCCCUGCAGAGCCUUGCUCUGCUGCUCCUCGGGGGUCCCUGGAGGCCAUGACCCAUCUGUUGUCAGAUCCCUCCGGGAAAGAGGAUGACCUGUCCUCCUAGGCUGGGCUGGAGGCUAGAGGCCAGGAGGCUGUUUCAGCUGCAGCAAAGGGAAGGCUGCAUCCAGCAAUCCUUGCCCUCCUUGUCCUGAGGGCAGGAGUGUGUGUGCUGAAAUAAGAAGAUGGGGAUCCCGUCAGAGACCCAUCUUCUGCCCUCUGCAUCCAGCGAAGGGCUCAGCGUUAAGAAGGAGCACGUCCAGAGAGGACUACAGCCAGGAAUGAGACUUGAACCCAAGCCAGGGGAGGAGGAUUUGGUUUGGAGUUCAGAAGAGUUGGGGGACUGAGAACUGCUUUCAAAGAACCUGAGGGAUUUGGUUCUUCAUCUACAAGCCCUCACUGAGGGCCUGCUCUUCCAGGUGCUGGGAACAUGUGAAGCCCCCAGAGGGGCAGAGGCAAUGAGAUAUAACUAAUGCUACUGUAAGGCAGUGCUCCAAGGACAGGACCACCAUGUCCGGUGAAGUCCUAGGAGGUGAGGACUUGGCUUGCCUCAUUCAGAGCUAAAUGGGCCUCCUGGCUCCCUGAGGCAAAGGAUAUAGAUGGUCUUCUAGGGUUGACUUUAUCCCUUGGGCAUUUAUUCAAGACGUCAGGCACGCUCCCGGCAUCUACAUCCUUGACUCUGCCUCCUGUAUUGGGGCCCUGUGGGAUCUCAGGUGUGUCAGGUGGCCCACUGGGGCUGACCUUCCAGAAGAUAGAGGCCUGUUUCUCUCUUUCUCCUAACUACCCAACUGUGCAGAGCUAGAGGACAGUGGCUGUCCCCACAAAGGUCUCUCACGGCUGCAGACCAGCACCCCGUCCACCUCCUCUCACCCCUGGGACAUAGCCAACCAGCCUGCUCUCCUCUUGUCAAUCUCCUCACACCCUGCCCAUCUGUAGAGUGGGCUGAAUCCUAGAUAUCCUUAGGUGAUUGAAGAGUGCUUUCUAACACUCUGGUGCGGGGUGGUUUCGGUCUGGCUUUCCGAACGUGCCAGAGCUGGGUUCCACAUACCUGCAUGCACAUACACUCCUAAGCACACACGCUGCCUCCACGCAUCCCGGCUUUCAUUGUGAGGGCCCCACUCUUUAUUCAAGGAGCGGUCUCGGGUGUCUGAAUGGAUGCUUGAAGGCUCCGUCUUUGCAAUUAACACGCUGCUGCAGUAUUAUUAGCCUCUGAUAGGCAGGUCUGCCUUUGCCAGAAACUAUAAAUAUGUGGGGCCAAUGACUCAGCAAAUCUGUUGCUAUUUUUCUUGCAGGUCCGUGUGGAUCUGUAUCUGUGUACACCAUGGCCCCAUCUCCCAGCAGCUCCCAUGGCUUGUAUCCAUGGAAACGCAGUCCUCCCCAACUAUGGUUCUCUGCUGACAAAACCUGGGAGUCUCCCCAGCCCCCUACCCA
RNAcentral lists this long non-coding RNA (6835 nucleotides) under Homo sapiens (human). RNAcentral describes it as "non-protein coding INSYN1-AS1:24". The record is from RNAcentral. Lineage: Eukaryota; Metazoa; Chordata; Mammalia; Primates; Hominidae.